Molecule: long non-coding RNA, 948 nt
Organism: Mesocricetus auratus (golden hamster)
Lineage: Eukaryota; Metazoa; Chordata; Mammalia; Rodentia; Cricetidae
Exons: 3
Source: RefSeq, a predicted model, not a curated record
UUCUCCGCGUCGCUGUCGAAGCUCACGAACUCCGUGUGGUCCACAUAGCCAACAGAGACGAAACGGGUCUCCCCGAGGCCGGGCCGGGACACGAUGGUGAGGAAAUACCGCAUGGAUUGCGAGCCUGGAGACGGCGCGCGCAGGAGCAGUGCAAGCAGAGUCAUAGCCCCCAUCUCAGAUCUGGGCGUCAGGGUUCCCUGCAUGGACUUUAUACCCGGUGCCCCCUUGGCGAAGCUGGUUGGUUCCCAGGGAUCUCGACACCCAGUGGAGAUGAGAAUCGAGUCCUCAUCAGUGUCCGGGCAGAAGGAGCUGACACAGAUCUUUGUCGCAGUGGGGAAGGGGUCCACUGUGCUGAGAUGAUGACCCAGGUUCACACAAUCUGAGGACUAUGAAGAGAAGAUCCUUGUAAAACACAACCACCUGGAGCCACAGAUGGUCAUCUGGGAAGAAACACUAGGAGUCUGAGUGUAAUCACAAGGCUGUGAAGACUGGAUUCUGAGUGAUGAGCAAAGUCUCUAUUUACAGGGGAGAUUCCCGAGCACCAGGCUUGGCAGUGUGAGCGCCCCCUGCAGGUGGACACAGGAGCCUGGUGUCUGUGGGAGUCUGUGUGGGGCUUGCAGGCCAGGGCAUCUGCUUUAAAGAGAAAUCAUCUCUCCCCUGCAUCCCGGCCCUAGUGUUAUUGCCAUUGUGUUCCCGGAAGUGACUUUUCUUCUGGAAGAUCCGGAGUCUAGCUUGUGAAUAGAAGGAAGAGGAAGGGUGAGGAGAGAAUGAAAUGUUCUGGGCUGUGGGCGUCUCCUGGUGAUUUUGUUUUUGUUUCUGUUUUUGAGACAAGGUCUGUCUCCUUCAUUCUGGCUGUCCUGAAACUUACUAUGUAGACCAGGCUGGUCUUGAACUCAGAGAACCAUCUGCCUUUGUAUCCCAAGUACUGGGGCUAAAGGUUUGUGUGAA